UCUAGUCCAACUCUAUCUAGAAUACUGAUAAUACCCACGUUGUUGGCUCUAUAUAAACAGGAGGCAUUGGUAUCAAAACUCACGGUACCAACUCUUUUUUAGCAAACUCUAGGAAAGCAAGGAUUUUCCUGCAUUUUAUUCAGAAGGUAAUCAUCACUUUUACAUUCUCCACAGUUAAGAAGCAACUCAAACAGUUCUCGUACUUUCUACCCUGAAUAAAAGCUGCUUGAACUUUAAUGAAUCAUGUGUAAUGGCUGUAUUAUUUUCAAGAAGAAUAAGUAUUUCCUUCUCCAUGUCACUUUUAAGUGAAAGUAAAAUAUCAUAUUUUAUUGUACCUUUUCUUUUAUUGAAAGAAAAAUCCACAUCGUAAAAGUAUUCUUCGACUUUUUUACUUUCGCAGCUCUUUUAGAACACAACCUUCUUGAGUUCUUAUCUCCAACAGUAAUUUGUUACAAAAACAAAAGCAAGUACGUAUUAGUUUCUCUCUUGCGGGAAACUAGCGAAGGUAUGUCCUUUAUUCAUUCACAAAUGUGUCAAAUAAAUAGAUACCCCUCUUGCUUUCAUAUAAAUAACGUUAUAUGAUUCAUGCCUGAUCUGCAGCAUUUCACACAAAAUAUUUAAAUCAAAUUGGUAUAUCUCUUCUUGCGAUAGUGAUUUUUGUCAGGUAGCUUUACUCUCUCAGUUCGCAGGGCCAUGUAGUACUCAAAAUAAAGUUACUACGCAGAAAUAUAAUGUUAGUUAUAAAUAUAUUAUAUUAUGGAUGUUCAUUUAGUACUCCGUUGUAAAUAAUCUUCCUGAAGAAGCUUAUCCAUAUGGGACUCCACCGUAAAUAUGUUUAUCUAUUUAGUACUCUAUUGGAAGUAAGCUUCCUGAAGAAGCUUAUCACUUCGGUACCCGGUUAUGGAUAAACAUUACCCUAGGUAGAAGAUUAUCCAUACCGGGUAUAAUAAGCUUAUCCAUUCAGUACUCCGUUAUCGAUAAACAUUGCUCUCAGUAAAAGAUUAUCCAUAUCUGGUAUAGUAGCAGCUUACACAGCAGCUUGCAGUAGCAACUUACACAGCAGCUUGCGUAGCAGCUUACACAGCAGCUUGUAAUAGCAGCUUACACAACAGCUUGCGUAACAGCUUAC
Molecule: long non-coding RNA, 1129 nt
Filed under: Nicotiana tabacum (common tobacco)
Lineage: Eukaryota; Viridiplantae; Streptophyta; Magnoliopsida; Solanales; Solanaceae
Description: long non-coding RNA (NTAB_LNC004448)
Source: RNAcentral